GAAGCCACAAGGGUGCAGCCUUAUUGUCAUUCUAAAUUUGCUGAUCCAAAAAUGCUGUGAUCUUAUCUCUAUUUGGCAUCAAUCUCUUAAUGAUUUUUCUUUUUCUAAUCAAUUCCUAUGUGCUUCAGCUGCUCUAGUAGGUCAUUUGCCGAAAUGGCAACAGAUAUCAGUGUUUGUUCUGAAGCUCAAUUAUUGCUUCAUUUGAUUUUGUUUCUUGUUGAUAUG
This 225-nucleotide long non-coding RNA is filed under the name Gossypium raimondii (Peruvian cotton). Its description in RNAcentral is "long non-coding RNA (GRAI_LNC007020)". The record is from RNAcentral. Lineage: Eukaryota; Viridiplantae; Streptophyta; Magnoliopsida; Malvales; Malvaceae.